Molecule: ribosomal RNA, 478 nt
Filed under: uncultured bacterium
Lineage: Bacteria
Description: partial 16S ribosomal RNA
Rfam family: Bacterial small subunit ribosomal RNA
Source: RNAcentral
GAUGAACGCUGGCGGCGUGCCUAACACAUGCAAGUCGAACGGAGUCCAGCCUUUAAGACCUUCGGGUCAAAGAGGGGAAGACUGAGUGGCGGACGGGUGAGUAACACGUGGGCAACCUGGCUCAUAGAGGGGGAUAACAGAGAGAAAUAUCUGCUAAUACCGCAUAAGCACACCCUGCCGCAUGGCAGAGGGUGAAAAGAGAAUCGCUAUGAGAUGGACCAGCGUCUGAUUAGCCAGUUGGCAGGGUAAGAGCCUACCAAAGCGACGAUCAGCAGCCGAUCUGAGAGGAUGAGCGGCCACAUUGGGACUGAGCCACGGCCCAAACUCCUACGGGAGGCAGCAGUGGGGGAUAUUGCACAAUGGGGGGAACCAUGAUGCAGCGACGCCGCGUGAGUGAAGAAGUAUUUCGGUAUGUAAAGCUCUAUCAGCAGGGAAGAUAAUGACGGUACCUGAAUAAGAAGCCCCGGCUAACUACGUG